GAUGAACGCUAGCGGCAGGCUUAAUACAUGCAAGUCGAGGGGCAGCGCAGUGUAGCAAUACAUGGGCGGCGACCGGCAAACGGGUGCGGAACACGUACAGAACCUUCCUUCGAGCGGGGAAUAGCCCAGAGAAAUUUGGAUUAAUACCCCAUAGUAUAUUGAAAAGGCAUCUUUUUAAUAUUAAAGAUUUAUCACUUGAAGAUGGCUGUGCGGCUGAUUAGGUAGUGGCGGGGUAACGGCCCACCAAGCCAUCGAUCAGUAACUGGUGUGAGAGCACGACCAGUCACACGGGCACUGAGACACGGGCCCGACUCCUACGGGAGGCAGCAGUAAGGAAUAUUGGUCAAUGGACGCAAGUCUGAACCAGCCAUGCCGCGUGGAAGGAUGAAGGUCCUCUGGAUUGUAAACUUCUUUUAUAUGGGACGUAAAAAGGGUUUUCUAACUCGUCUGACGGUACCAUAUGAAUAAGCACCGGCUAA
This 479-nucleotide ribosomal RNA is filed under the name uncultured bacterium. RNAcentral describes it as "bacterial SSU rRNA". It matches the Rfam family "Bacterial small subunit ribosomal RNA", at positions 28 to 500 of the family's 1533-position model. The record is from RNAcentral.